This is an RNA transcript of Acanthopagrus latus (yellowfin seabream), 2713 nucleotides long. RefSeq lists it as uncharacterized. Lineage: Eukaryota; Metazoa; Chordata; Actinopteri; Spariformes; Sparidae. The transcript is spliced from 9 exons. The record is from RefSeq and is a predicted model, not a curated record.
GGUGAACACUGGACUCUGAUUGGCUGCAGGCUCUCAGUUAACUCUGACUCAUCAACUAAUCAGAACAUCUUGUUCACAGCAGUGGGUUUGGACCCUGCAGGUCAUCGUCCUCUGGACACCACAGGGUGGCGCUGCAGGUCCACACCAUCCCUCAGAACACAAAGGAGUCCAGUGUUAGAAUAAACAUCAUGAACCAUCAAGGUCCGGAGAGUUACUGUGAACCUCUGUUCAACUGGACCAGAACCACCGGACCAGAACCACCAGCAGUGAUUAUAAACCCUGAUCUGCUUUGUCUUGUUGUCCUGGUGUCGGUCUGUGUCGGGUCGGUCAGAGUUUAUCUGUCGCGGGUGGUUUCACAUUCAGACUGAAAUCAGAUUAAACCUGAUUGAAUUAAAGAGGCCUAGUUGAGGGCGGUUCUGGUUUCAUCGGAGUUCAAACAUUAGAAAUGCUAAAGACGAACAGAACUUCAUACUGUCGUUUUGGUUUAUCGUUCGGUUCUGAUGAGCUCAGACUGACCCAGUUAACAUGAGAAAACUUCUCUUUGAUUCGUCGACACGAACAAACGAGACUCUGAGGAGCUGCUGUUGUUUUCACGCCCACGUCAUGGCGACAGGUGACUAAACUUCUAUGUGAUUGGCUGCCUGAAAAAGACUGCUGGUGACUCCACCGCAGCAACUGGAAGCGCUCUGAGAGAAGCUGGAAGCAACAGCUUUCCCUGCUCGCCCCUCAACAGAUGGAAAAAGACACAGUGUGGUCCAGGACAUGUGAUGUGCUGUGAUGGAUCAGGCUCGUGUUGGUUCCAGGGAGAAAACUUGGCAGGAAAACCAGAACAGCCCCCCCACAACACCUCCUCCCCCUGCUCCACCUCCUCCACCUCCUCCACCUCCUCCCCCUGCCCCACCUCCUCCACCUCCUCCACCUCCUCCUCCUCCCCCUGCUCCACCUCCUCCACCUCCUCCUCCUCCCCCUGCUCCACCUUCUCCACCUCCCUCUCCUCCCCUUUUCUCCCUCUUCAUGUUCAUUCACACUCAGUCGAUCAGGACAUCACAUCUCUCUGCAGUCUUUGUCUCUCUAUCAUUCAUUUCUUCUCCGUCUGUUUGAAUCAUGUCUCUCAGUUUUCUGUCUGUUUAUCUGAGCGGAGCCUCACUGAUCCUGCUGCUGCCUGCGGUGUGUCAGGUUCAGUAUGACGACUUCACGCCGGCCCCAGACUACGACCUGGACUACAACGCCACCUUCGAGUACAGCUUCUUCAGUAACGCCAGCAGCGAGGACCUUGACAAGUUCAGUGAACGAUUCGUCGACCAGGAGAACGGUGGAGAGGACGACAUGGGGGGUCAGCAGGAGGACGAGGAUGUCACUGUUACCAUGACGACCAGCGGACAAACCACAGAGAGGGGAAAGGUCGGAGUUCGUAGUGCCGCAUCACUUCCUGUUUCUCUGGACAUCAGGACGCUGCUCUGGACUCUGUUGAUCCUGAUCAGCCUGAACACACAGCAGCUACUACGCACACUAUGAGAUGGACGUACACUCAGCAGCUGAUGUUGGAUCAGUUCCAAACCAGCGCGGGUCAGCUGAUCAGAGGUGGGAGGCGUCGCCGGCACCUCUGUGACCUUUGACCUCUGCUGAGGAGCCACAGUUUCCCUCAGCCAAUCACAAAGCUUUAUCAGCACUGCAGUUCACAGAGCUCUGACAUCAUCCCGGCACCAUCACAGCCCUUCACUGUUUGUCUGAAGCGACCCAGAACCAGAACUUCUCUAAAGACUCAGAGUUUAUUUUUAUAUUUGUUGGAAAUCUGAACAAGUACGGAAGUUUAAUAACGACGAGACAUCGAACACAAAGUUCACCCAGGAAACAAAAUGAUGUCACACGAACGUCUGAAACAUCAGAACCAUCAGAACCAUUAAAAACAUCAGAACCAUCAGAAACAUCAGAACCAUCAACUCUUCCUCAGAAAAAGAGAUUUUAUUAUUUGGGUUUUUUUCCUCAACGAGAAUGUUUAGAAAUGAAAAUUUCUCAGUUUCUUGAUAUUUCAAUGUUCCUUCAUUUUUUCUCUGUGGAAAAUUAAGUCCAGAAAAGAAACUUUCCCCAGUCGGUGUGAAGCAGGAGGAACAAAACGUUCGUCAGCUGAACGUUUAGACUUUUCUUUAGUUUGAUAUUUAGGUUCUUAAUGAAACUGUUUGAGUUCUAACAGAACCUCCAUGAAGACUUUGUGUCUCUCGGCUUCUCACUGAUGAACUUCCUGCAUGUUCGGGUCUGUUGAGAACUUGUUCUGUGGUGCUGAGUGUUAGUUUCCAGAACCACAGGGUCCAGUUCAUCUUCUGAUCCGUUUGAUGAGGAAACAUGUUGAAGUGUGACGGAGACAUGAAGUGUUCUAAACGUCAUGAUGUUCAGACGUUCAGACAGCAGCACUUUGUCAACAUGCAGCACUUAUCGGACUCUUGUUCUCUGUGAUCGAUUGUUCUGACGACCCGGUGAAGAUGUUUGUGUCACCAAACCAGCUAAAGUUCAUAUCUUUAGGUUUUGAUUCUCCAAAGUGUCCGAACGGGUCGGCAGUGGAAAGAUGCGGCUUAAAAUAAGGUCAAGUUUUGAAUGUUAAAGUCAUUAACAGAAGUUCUGUUGCUUCACAACACACGGGUCAUUUGAGUUCUCCAGAACAAUCCAGAACCAAUUUUUUAUUUGUAUGUGUUUUUGCAAUAAAACGUUUGAAAAGUUC